This 213-nucleotide ribosomal RNA is filed under the name uncultured bacterium. Its description in RNAcentral is "partial 16S ribosomal RNA". It matches the Rfam family "Bacterial small subunit ribosomal RNA", at positions 29 to 224 of the family's 1533-position model. The record is from RNAcentral.
AGCGAACGUUAGCGGCAGGCCUAACACAUGCAAGUCGAGCGAGAAAGAGGACUUCGGUCCUCGAGUACAGCGGCGUACGGGUGAGUAACACGUGGGUAAUCUGCCCUUCGGUGGGGACAACAACCCGAAAGGGUUGCUAAUACCGCAUUCGCCGGCAUGACCUGUGGAUUAUGCCGGGAAAGUGGGCCUCUACUUGUAAGCACACGCCGAAGG